Molecule: long non-coding RNA, 1324 nt
Filed under: Coturnix japonica (Japanese quail)
Lineage: Eukaryota; Metazoa; Chordata; Aves; Galliformes; Phasianidae
Description: lncRNA (ENSCJPG00005019767.1)
Source: RNAcentral
UGUGCUUGUACAUCAAACUCGACACAGCUUCAUAAACAUUUGGGUUGAAGCCGGCUACAGCAGUGAGGAAACUGAAAGUGUGUCUCAAAUCAACACAUGGACAGCGCUCUGAAAAUCACCAGUUCUUUGUUGAGUUAGAAUUCAGAACAGAUUUCUUCUCAUUAUCAUUGCUAUUCUUACAAUCAUCUUUAUAACUGUGACAUACAGAGGUUAUUACAGGGCAAAAGAUGGUCCUUGCCUCAAAGAAGGUCACAAUUUAAACUUAAGGCAAGAAACUAUUAAGAACACAAGAUAGAUGAAAAGGGAAAUGAUUGUUAAUUGGAGAGGAUAUUUUGUUGUCAAAGACAACAAUAUUUUUCUACUUUUUUUCUUUUUUGUCAGAUAUUGUGGGAAAAAAUUCAAAAGAUGAUUCUGAAUGAUAGUGAGACAGAGCAGAAGAUGUUUAUGGGAUUAUAUCCCCAGCAUGGUACCUCAGAAUGUAACCUGCUGAGCUUGAGCUGUAGAAGCAAAGGUGAUCAGAAAUGGGACAGAUGGGUUGAGAAAGGGCAGAGACAGCAGGCCCAAGGGAAGCAGCUGUAAAGAAACAGGUCAGAGAGAGAAGACUGGGGAUACGUUUCCCUUACAUGUUUAAUCUUCACAGUAAUUGAAUUCCUUUUUUUCUUAUUUUAACAGAUAAUACAUAGUGACACCAUAUAAUAUGUGCGAUAGUAUGUAUGUCAACUGUGUCUCCUCUUGAGAGACUGAGAUUAAAAAGGUGGAAAUUGUAAAUGCUCUGGGGUCUCAGAAUAACAUUCUUUUCUAUGGGAAUGAAGUUUUUCCAUUUAGGUUUUGCUGAUUAUUACUUCUUGGGAAAGCUAUUACACAUGCAGCUGAAAAAAAGGUAUGUAACAACAUACAUUAAGUUUUAGGGGUGAGUCUUCUUUCGCCAAACUCUAUUAAAGUCCAAAAAACACAUCCAUCUUGAAGCAUUAACCUGCCCCUCUAACUGUAAGCUUAAACCCACCACACCAACUCUUCCCUUACAGUUAAUGGAGGGAAGAAGGUACUUCCAAAGGGGAAGUGCAAGAGGAAAUAUACUACAUAAGGUCAACAUUUUAUAUGUCUGAAUUAAAGUAGAUAUGUCCUGCACUGUGGGUGUGAGCAUCUGUUACCAUUUGAAAUGCUCAGUUAUUUCCUUAUUUGCACUGAGGGCACAGAGAUCCGUUAGGUUCAGUGACAUAUAUGCUAGACAUGAUGGAUGUCUCUGAUACUGUGUGACAUCUCAGAUGUCUCUAGGGGACUUUGUGUGGGCAACUAAGCAGAGUCCUUUCCGCCUACAUAGGGA